GGGCGCGGCCGCCAUGACGGGCCGCCAUGAGGACUCGGUCCGGUCCUGCGGUCCUUCCGGCGCCGCCUCACAGGCCCCGCCUGCAACCACAGCUCCGUCAGCUUUACAACCCCGUGACUUUUAGUUUCCGUAACUACCGCAGACACGUGUUCGGUAGCGAGGAGCCUAACGUAGGGAACGGCAGAAUGACCAAAUGCCUCUAAGACUUAAAAGGACCACACGCCUGUGGUGAUCAGCAGCAUGAGCUGAUGAUGACCAAACCACAGUCUGGUCGUACCUACAGGGAAAAAUCGAGUUUAAGAAGUCAAAAUGAGUCUUACGAGCUGUGGAGGGAUCCUGCCGGCCGCCAGGGUGUCGAUUGCUCAAGGAAAGAGGUGUUCGGGAGCAGAGCAGGGCUUCUCCCAAAGCAAUGCCACUGACCUGCCCUCUUGUCUCCUGCACCAGCACGUUUUCAUUUGCAAAGACCAAAUCCUGCUUACCAGAAACAAACACACCAAGUAGAUCGAGGAGCACAGCUGAGAGCUCUGCAGGAUGCAGUGAGAGAACCUUGGGAUUGCAGGAAUUUUUGUAGUAACCAGGAACCAUAAAAAGGGAGUCAGGCCGUUCAGGCACAAGGCAAAUGCUGCUGCCACGAGAGAAGGCAGACUGGGAUCACAGCACCAUCACAAACUGGUGGUGACCAAGGACAACAAGCAAGCAGCUACUGAGAUGCAUUCCCCUGGACUAUCACCCCAGUUUCUCUCGACAAAGGCUCUGGAGGGCACCCCAGGCUGAGCCAGAGGACACCGGACAAAGCAAGAGCUGGGAAGUCACUGUGCAAUCCAGAGGUCACUGAGCAGCAGCACCCAGGCACCAGGCACUGGGUGAGUCACAAAACACUGGGUGUGUUCAGCAUGGUAGGACAUGCAGCAGUGCUGGCAGCAGCUCCACUUCCUGUGUGCAAUCCUCACUCCCCCACAGAAACCUGGCAGAAAUUCCCUGUUGGUCCACUUGCCACUGCUACUGUGCAACAAUGGAACUACAGACUUGGGCCUUUUCACUGCCCCAGCAACAGCAAAGGGGCUCAGAGAGCCUCUUUUAUUCUACAUCAGUUGGCACGCACAUGUAUCACCUGGCGCUUUCUUCCCAGCCUCAGCUAGACAUCCACUGGGCUGGGUAUCACUUUGUAAGGCUUCAGCUCAUUCAUUUGCCCUUACUGGAGAAAACAGAGAAGGGAGGGAAAUCAUCUGUAACCAGAGAUCAGGCUCCAUUUACAGGCCUGCUGUAGCAGGGCUUUCUCUACAGAACAAGGCAGGCCGGGAUUUCUUCCUUUCCGCAGGGUAUCUGUGAGGAUUUAAAAAGUCCAAACAAAUGGGAUGCUUGAGGCAGAGUAAGACCCAGCUCAGGCUCACUUUUACCAGCCUCUUGCCAUCAACUGGUACAUAACAAAAGACCAGAAGGUGGGAAGUGUGGACAUGAAAUGCAAAAACUUUGUAAGUCAAAGCUGACAAAAGAUUGUUUCUCCAAACCCCCCCUUAAUGACACUCUACUCAACUUACUUAAGACUGAGUUACAUUUCUGGGAAUAUUACCAGGAAGCUGUAGCUAAUGCACAGCAUCAGUGUGGGUCAUACACAGAACCUUGUGCUGUUUGGUCCAGCAGCUCACACAGGCUGUAGAGGUGCCUGUUCUUCCUCAGAUUAUUUGUGCUUCAGGAGACUGGUCAAGCUCUGCUUAGGCUGUAAAACUUUUCCUUUUUUUUUUUCUUUAUUCUUUAUCCAUUUAAUUUCCUUUCCAGCAUAGAUGCAGACUGUACAUAGUAUCUGAAACACUAUUACAUCAAAGCAAUAUAGAGAAAGAUUACAGUCAUUCUAACAAAUACCUUUUUUGUUAAAUAUUGUAAAAAUCUGUAUCACUGUAGCAACUGUCUCACAGGGCCCCUCACUGAAACAUCAGAUCAGGCCUACCUGUUGUAACAACUGCUUUCAGCUCAGCAGCUGGAGGUAGAAAUACCCCAACACAAUAUUUCAGAUGUUUCAGCGUGCCUAAAAUGAUGUUCUCUUGAAUUCUGGACUCCUUUUCCUGUACGUUGACAUGUACUGCUGAAAAUCAUGAACAAAGUAUUUCAAAUGCAAUUCUUGCAAAUCCCUUUAAAUAAAUGGUGCUCAACAUCCAAAAUUAAACAUGCUGUCAACAAUCUGUACAAAGGUAAAGGUGAAAAAUAGAAUUUGAUUACAAAAGAAUUUGUUAACACCAUCUGUACACCACAGACAAUGCUUUUCAGAAGAUAAAUUCAAUCCUCAUCCUCAUUCAAUCACUGAGAUGUUAUCUCCCAAUUCUUAAAGCAUGCAUUUUCUGUGUACUUAUAUACAACAAUUAGUGUUUUUAUAAUAUUUCCUACAUGUGAACAGUUCAGGUAUUGUACAGUGACUCAGCUGAGAUGAACGAGCUUAUGCACGUUACUUUAAUGAAAAGAUAUUUCACUUGUCUAGCUCCAAAAGAGCCAAGAAAGGUAAGUGAUAAAAGCACCAGCUUAGACUCUUUUGAACAUAAAUUCAGGCAUUUUAAUGUGUAUCUCAUUAAAGCUACAUGAGUUUCCAUGUAGGUUAUUCAUACAUAUUAUGGCACUUGGACUCUCCUAACAGGUAUUUAAUAACCUAGGACAACUAGGCUAAAAAAGAAAAGAUCUGCUAAAAUUAACCAUUUCUGUAAGAAAACACUUCCGUUCCAACCUUCGAACCCGUUAAUUGUCCUGGAAGUUGCACCAGAACACAACUGCUCCUGUCUGACAUUCGGUGAGUAGGCUGCCUUUGACAACGAUGUCACAGGAAGUUUUAAGUGUCAGUCUCUCUCUUGUGACCUGGGAGCACAAAGAAAGGCCCUCACCCAUUUCCACCACCCCCAGCGUGUCCCGCUCCUCUGUAAUUACAACAUGCAGCACUGCUGCUGGGCAUCCAUUCUUUGGUUGGACUCGAGCCUUUGCAGCAAUUACACACAUUAAGAAACAAGUCCAAAUUUAAUCCAAGGUGGUCUCCACUGGCAGCUUUUUCUCCAUGUAAGGCAUUAUUCUGACAUCUACUGGCCUGGUACCCAACCAUACAUCUUAAUACACUGCAUUUGUAAUUAAAAAGGAGUAUAUCUAUUAAUCCAAAAAGAAGAACAAUUUAAUGAACACAAAUGACAUACAUUUAAAACAGACCCAUGUAUUUUCAUAUAAAUCUCACAAUCCUACCAGUAUUUUGGUAGGUUUCUAUUGCUUUCUUAACUCAUCUGAACUACUGUAUAUUAUGAGGCUUUAAUACAAGCAGCUUUGGGGAAGAAAGUUAUAUUUGGAAGGGAAAAAAAAAGUCGUGACAAGUGAAAACAAAAAAAAAAUCCAAGAAGCUUUUUUUAAAAAAAAAUCUUUACUUGCAAAAUUAAGCAGCAUGCUAUUUUGUGAUUUAUAUUUGAAUUUAAAAAGACUAAUUAGACCGAAAUAAAGACAAAACCCUAAAAAUGGCAAGUCUAUAAAUAAUGAAAAUUUUGAUUUCACUAGGCUUCAAUGAAAAACAUUUGGUAAUUAAAUACUUGCUACUGUUCAUUAACGUUGAUGAACUUUAUUAGGGUUAAAACUAUAACAAAGUUCAUCCUAAAACUUUUUGCAAUGCAAAAUUAUUUUCACUCGAGGAGUGUCUCAAAUUGAAUGCUAAGAAUUACAAGCAAUCUUCAGGAGCAGACACUCACAUUCAUAAAACUUUAUACAUCUUUUGGAACUAGGAUAUUUAUACUACUAAAAUCAAACAUGCAUCACUUCCCAUACAUUCUGGUAUCAUGAUUUAUAUUACAUUAUGUAACACCAUUCUUCUCGAAAGCAGCAGUUUAUCAUACGUUUGCUCCAUUUUCUUUGGAUUUCUGAUCUUUAUCUUCGUUCUUCACCAUAUCCUUGAAAAGAAAAGCCAGGAGAGGAUGACAUGAGUUGUGGAAGUGAUAUUUCUCCUGUGAGCUGUAAAGCAGCGCGAGACAGACACUGUUUGCUGUCAGCUUUAAAGACUCUGUGAACUGAUAUCCAACUCAGUUUAGUUACAACCAACUGAGAGGCAGAAAUGCUCUGGAGUGUUAUGUGGUUUGCUUUAAACUCAUUUUACUGUGAUACUCUCACAUAUUGAAAUAUUUGACUUCUGCCCUGACGAAGUACUGCUCACCAAUAAAACAGAGGAACAUACUUGGGCUGUUGGGGAUGGACAAGAUCAGAACAGGAAAACAGUGAAAUGGUUUGAGAUUUACAUUAAUAUUUAUGCAUUUUUAAAAACAUCUCAGUCAGGAACAUGUGUUGCAAGCUAAGAAAAAAACCCACAUUUAAUUUUUUUAUCUUUAAAAAACUGAUAUCACAUUGAGCUUCUUUUCCACAUAUAUGUUAAGAUACUACUGCCCUGAAUUCAUGUCAAAUUUGGUUUUUAUUUUGAAGUUUCUGUUCCAAUUGUUUUGUCAACAGAAGUUUGGAUACAAUAAUAAAAAAUGGAAUUAAACAACUCUAACCUGUUUAAGAACACUCUGUAUUUCAUCCAUAACAGUAGCUAAAUUUUUGAUUGUCUUAUUCAGCUGACCCUCAAAUUGCAAUUUUUUAUCAUCUGAGAUCUUCAAAUUUUCUUGCAGUUGGCCAAGGUCCUUUUUUACUUCUUUGAGCUCUCCAGACAGACUUUUGUUAGAGUUCUCCAGCUGUAGUAUAGUUUUUUCAUCCUCAUCUUAGGAAGGGAAUAAACAAGAAAGUCAAGUCACUUCUGAUGCUGUGACUUCGCAUCUUAAUAUUCUAUUUAUGUGCCAACAUCAUAAUAGUAAUUUUUAAAGAACAUUAAGAACUGCAUUGCAUUACCAUUUGAUAACAUUUAAUUCUCACUGCAUUUGAAAGUCUUGAAUAAAAGAAAUGAAAGCAUUUCAGCAUGACAAGAAUGGUGCUCAACAACAGUGUGCAAGUUAAAAGGCUUUGGGAAAAAGAAAACCGACCGGCAGGCAAAUAAAUACAAUUUAGAUCGCAGGUAUCACUCCAACUGAUUUCUUCCCUCAGAAAGCCUCAGUGUCAGCAUUGCCUUCCCAGUACAGCCCCACCUGUUUUCUCCUCCAGCAGCUGCAGCUUCUGCUCGAUCUCUGCCCGCACCCUCUCGCUCUUCUCCAGCUUCUGCAGGAGGCUCCCCACAUCCACCAUGGCCCCGUUGUACACGAUGAGCCCCACGUUCUCCUCCACGGCCUUGGCCUCCUGCUUCACGGCAGGGGACGGCAGCAGCAACCGGUUCCCUGCGUUGGAUUGAGUCAGGAAACAGUCACUAAAUCAUCUCUGCAGUUCUAGUGGCCCAUCUCAAAACUUCUUAAAAGAAUAAAUUCUAGAAGAAUAAA
Molecule: long non-coding RNA, 5345 nt
Organism: Chiroxiphia lanceolata (lance-tailed manakin)
Lineage: Eukaryota; Metazoa; Chordata; Aves; Passeriformes; Pipridae
Exons: 3
Source: RefSeq, a predicted model, not a curated record